ACGGAAGGCAGCAGUGAGGAAUAUUGGUCAAUGGACGGAAGUCUGAACCAGCCAUGCCGCGUGCAGGAAGACGGCCCUAUGGGUUGUAAACUGCUUUUGUGGUGGAGCAAUAAGGCGUACGUGUACGCCGAUGAGAGUACAUCACGAAUAAGCAUCGGCUAACUCCGUGCCAGCAGCCGCGGUAAUACGGAGGAUGCAAGCGUUAUCCGGAUUUAUUGGGUUUAAAGGGUGCGUAGGCUGUGCGUCAAGUCAGAGGUGAAAGCCCGGGGCUCAACUCCGGAACUGCCUUUGAUACUGACGUGCUGGAAUACGGAUGCCGUGGGAGGAAUGAGUAGUGUAGCGGUGAAAUGCAUAGAUAUUACUCAGAACACCGAUUGCGAAGGCAUCUCACGAAGCCGUUAUUGACGCUGAGGCACGAAAGCGUGGGGAUCAAACAGGAUUAGAUACCCUGGUA
This 454-nucleotide ribosomal RNA is filed under the name uncultured Rikenella sp. Its description in RNAcentral is "bacterial SSU rRNA". It matches the Rfam family "Bacterial small subunit ribosomal RNA", at positions 341 to 792 of the family's 1533-position model. Lineage: Bacteria; Pseudomonadati; Bacteroidota; Bacteroidia; Bacteroidales; Rikenellaceae. The record is from RNAcentral.